AUACAGAGGGUGCAAGCGUUAAUCGGAUUUACUGGGCGUAAAGCGCGCGUAGGUGGCUAAUUAAGUCAAAUGUGAAAUCCCCGAGCUUAACUUGGGAAUUGCAUUCGAUACUGGUUAGCUAGAGUAUGGGAGAGGAUGGUAGAAUUCCAGGUGUAGCGGUGAAAUGCGUAGAGAUCUGGAGGAAUACCGAUGGCGAAGGCAACCAGCUGGCCUAAUACUGCAACGGUGUUGCGAAAGCAUGGGAAGCAAACAGGAUUAGAUACCCGGGUAGUCCAUGCCGUAAACGAUGUCUACUAGCCGUUGGGGCCCUUGAGGCUUUAGUGGCGCAGCUAACGCGAUAAGUAGACCGCCUGGGGAGUACGGUCGCAAGACUAAAACUCAAAUGAAUUGACGGGG
Molecule: ribosomal RNA, 396 nt
Filed under: uncultured bacterium
Lineage: Bacteria
Description: partial 16S ribosomal RNA
Rfam family: Bacterial small subunit ribosomal RNA
Source: RNAcentral